RNAcentral lists this ribosomal RNA (549 nucleotides) under uncultured Glomus. RNAcentral describes it as "SSU rRNA". It matches the Rfam family "Eukaryotic small subunit ribosomal RNA", at positions 548 to 1098 of the family's 1831-position model. The record is from RNAcentral. Lineage: Eukaryota; Fungi; Glomeromycota; Glomeromycetes; Glomerales; Glomeraceae.
UUGGAGGGCAAGUCUGGUGCCAGCAGCCGCGGUAAUUCCAGCUCCAAUAGCGUAUAUUAAAGUUGUUGCAGUUAAAAAGCUCGUAGUUGAAUUUCGGGAUCGAUGGGUCGGUCAUGCCCUCGGUAUGUACUGAUCCCAUUGGUUCUCACCUUCUAAGGAACCAUGAUGUCAUUCGGUUGAUGUUGUGGGGAAUUAGGACUGUUACCUUGAAAAAAUUAGAGUGUUUAAAGCAGGCCAACGCUUGAAUACAUUAGCAUGGAAUAAUGAAAUAGGACAUCCGAUUCUAUUUUGUUGGUUUCUAGGAUCGAUGUAAUGAUUAAUAGGGAUAGUUGGGGGCAUUAGUAUUCAAUUGUCAGAGGUGAAAUUCUUGGAUUUAUUGAAGACUAACUACUGCGAAAGCAUUUGCCAAGGAUGUUUUCAUUAAUCAAGAACGAAAGUUAGGGGAUCGAAGACGAUCAGAUACCGUCGUAGUCUUAACCAUAAACUAUGCCGACUAGGGAUCGGAUGAUGCUUAUUUUUUAAUGACUCAUUCGGCGCCUUACGGGAAAC